AAACCACUAAAGCUUACUGAGAACUGGCCUCAGAACUGACAGCCAUCUGGGCUAACAUUUGCCCAGCACAGCCUUCAGACAGACUAUGGCAAUGUCCAUCAAAAACAGAGCUGAGCCUGACUGCAGACCAAGCCAGCCCUGCCAUACCUUGUCCCAUCGGAUGCUUAAAGACAGGACAGUGAAAGGACACAGCCAAAACCCACAUCAUGAUACAAAUGAUAAAUUAUAUUUAUACAGUAAAGUAUCAACAGUCAACACAAAUCCAAAACCACCCACCAGCCCUGGGACUGAGAAGCAGCGGGGUGACUUCCUUCAGGGUAUUCAUCAAGAAGGGCAUGGUGGCACGUGUGCAACACACAUGGCAGUGGCCAGCGGCUUCAUGAUCAGUGCAGCGGGUAACAGGGACAUGCGCUGGGUGGCCUGUGGGAGGAAGAGCCCAAUGGCUACUGGGAUGGGGAUCCAGUCAGAUGGGCUCUUGUCUUCUGGAGCAGAAUCACGGGCCCACAGCAGGCAGUUCUGGCCCUAGCCUAUACCAUCUGAAGGAAGCAGUCUGGACUGGUGCCUGGCCUCCCUGCCCUGUGAUACCUCCAUCUCUCCCAGGCAGCCAUCAGCUCAGCCUUCCUGAACAGCAGAGCCCAAGCCUCUCCCUAGGCCUUGGGUCCUGGGUGGAAAGGGUAGUUAGGAAGGGCCCUUGGCUUGUGGGGCCUAGGAACAGCAUGUAGACUCAGACUCAGGAGGGGCCUAAGUGCAGUCCUCUCUCAAACAGUAAUCACUCAGUCAACUAUGUGGGUGCUGAGGGUCAAAACUUUCUCUGGAUGCAGAGAGGAACUGGCAGGUGGCUGGGUGUCCUUGGAGCUUAAG
Molecule: long non-coding RNA, 861 nt
Filed under: Rattus norvegicus (Norway rat)
Lineage: Eukaryota; Metazoa; Chordata; Mammalia; Rodentia; Muridae
Description: long non-coding RNA NONRATT004367
Source: RNAcentral